RNAcentral lists this ribosomal RNA (468 nucleotides) under uncultured bacterium. Its description in RNAcentral is "partial 16S ribosomal RNA". It matches the Rfam family "Bacterial small subunit ribosomal RNA", at positions 28 to 507 of the family's 1533-position model. The record is from RNAcentral.
GACGAACGCUGGCGGCGUGCUUAACACAUGCAAGUCGAACGGAAAGGCCCUGCUUUUGUGGGGUGCUCGAGUGGCGAUCGGGUGAGUAACACGUGAGUAACCUGCCCUUGACUUUGGGAUAACUUCAGGAAACUGGGGCUAAUACCGGAUAGGAGCUCCUGCUGCAUGGUGGGGGUUGGAAAGUUUCGGCGGUUGGGGAUGGACUCGCGGCUUAUCAGCUUGUUGGUGGGGUAGUGGCUUACCAAGGCUUUCACGGGUAGCCGGCCUGAGAGGGUGACCGGCCACAUUGGGACUGAGAUACGGCCCAGACUCCUACGGGAGGCAGCAGUGGGGAAUAUUGCACAAUGGGCGGAAGCCUGAUGCAGCAACGCCGCGUGCGGGAUGACGGCCUUCGGGUUGUAAACCGCUUUCGCCUGUGACGAAGCGUGAGUGACGGUAAUGGGUAAAGAAGCACCGGCUAACUACGUG